RNAcentral lists this ribosomal RNA (463 nucleotides) under uncultured bacterium. RNAcentral describes it as "partial 16S ribosomal RNA". It matches the Rfam family "Bacterial small subunit ribosomal RNA", at positions 28 to 507 of the family's 1533-position model. The record is from RNAcentral.
GACGAACGCUGGCGGCGUGCUUAACACAUGCAAGUCGAGCGGAAAGGCCACUUCGGUGGUCCUCGAGCGGCGAACGGGUGAGUAACACGUGAGUAAUCUGCCCCUCACUUUGGGAUAGCCACCGGAAACGGUGAUUAAUACCGGAUAUGACCAUAUGUCGCAUGGCGUGUGGUGGAAAGUUUUUCGGUGAGGGAUGUGCUCGCGGCCUAUCAGCUUGAUGGUGAGGUAAUGGCUCACCAUGGCUUCGACGGGUAGCCGGCCUGCGAGGGUGACCGGGCACACUGGGACUGAGACACGGCCCAGACUCCUACGGGAGGCAGCAGUGGGGAAUAUUGGACAAUGGGCGGAAGCCUGAUCCAGCAACGCCGCGUGAGGGAUGACGGCCUUCGGGUUGUAAACCUCUUUCAGUACCGACGAAGCGAAAGUGACGGUAGGUACAGAAGAAGCACCGGCCAACUACGUG